Molecule: transfer RNA, 88 nt
Filed under: Acidobacteriota bacterium
Lineage: Bacteria; Pseudomonadati; Acidobacteriota
Description: tRNA-Tyr
Rfam family: tRNA
About the family: Transfer RNA (tRNA) molecules are approximately 80 nucleotides in length.
Source: RNAcentral
GCAUCAGAGGCCGAAAAGGCUCGGCAGCAGCCUGUAAAGCUGCGGCUCGCCGCAGGCGAGCGUGGAGGUUCGAGUCCUCCCUGAUGCA